AUUGAACGCUGGCGGCAUGCUUUACACAUGCAAGUCGAACGGCAGCGGGGGCUUCGGCCUGCCGGCGAGUGGCGAACGGGUGAGUAACGCAUCGGAACGUGCCCAUGUCGUGGGGGAUAACGUAGCGAAAGCUACGCUAAUACCGCAUACGUCCUGAGGGAGAAAGCGGGGGGAUUCUUCGGAACCUCGCGCGAUUGGAGCGGCCGAUGUCGGAUUAGCUAGUAGGUGAGGUAAAGGCUCACCUAGGCGACGAUCCGUAGCGGGUCUGAGAGGAUGAUCCGCCACACUGGGACUGAGACACGGCCCAGACUCCUACGGGAGGCAGCAGUGGGGAAUUUUGGACAAUGGGCGCAAGCCUGAUCCAGCCAUGCCGCGUGAGUGAAGAAGGCCUGG
This 393-nucleotide ribosomal RNA is filed under the name uncultured bacterium. RNAcentral's name for it is "bacterial SSU rRNA". It matches the Rfam family "Bacterial small subunit ribosomal RNA", at positions 28 to 419 of the family's 1533-position model. The record is from RNAcentral.